Molecule: transfer RNA, 86 nt
Filed under: Planctomycetaceae bacterium
Lineage: Bacteria; Pseudomonadati; Planctomycetota; Planctomycetia; Planctomycetales; Planctomycetaceae
Description: tRNA-Leu
Rfam family: tRNA
About the family: Transfer RNA (tRNA) molecules are approximately 80 nucleotides in length. Their secondary structure includes four short double-helical elements and three loops (D, anti-codon, and T loops).
Source: RNAcentral
GCGGAUGUGGCGGAAUUGGCAGACGCGCUAGGUUCAGGUCCUAGUGUCCCCUAAAGGACGUGGAGGUUCAAAUCCUCUCAUCCGCA